UGAUUUAUUCGGACCAUUUCUAUUCCUGUAAAAUAUUAGUCAAUCAUUCUGAUUGUGUUGUCUUCUGUCCUAUGUAUUUCUUAGUGUCCUCAUUGCUUGAUUGGAAAAUCAUUUAGACCUAGGGGCAGUAUUGGUUUGACUUGCAGCUCUAUGACAGUCUAGAACUGCCUUUGUAUACUGCACUGAUUUAUAAAUUACUUUCCUUUUUCCCAACACGUUCACAUAAUCUAUCAACUCAUUGUUCUGAAGGCAAUCCGAAUAUGGUUAUGGCUCUGGCUGGGAACAAAUCUGAUUUGCUCGAUGAAAGGAAAGUAGAAGCUAAGGCAAGUAUUUCUACUUGUGGGUUAAAAUUCUUUCUAGAUGUGGUGUAGUAGUAGCACUUACUUUCUGGAUGAUGAUGUUAUUUUCAACUACGUCGAGUACAGGAGGCGGAAGUCUAUGCACAGGAGAAUGGCCUUUUCUUUAUGGAAACCUCUAAGAUAGAAGAUGUAUCAACCAAGCAAGCCAAGCGUAUACAUUUUCCCUGAAUCUCAGUUUCAUAAUCAGUAUGUGGAUUCAAAUACAAGCAUCGAAGUAACAUAAAUACAUAACUUAAAACUUAAAAUCAAACUGGAACGAAAACAGAAAAAAACAAGGACGAAAGCCUUAUUUGGAAAGCUUGGACAAAGACUCUAUUUCGCUUAAAGUUGGCACAAAAACCUCACAUCUGAUGGACAAGCUCACAUAUUUAUACAGCAGAUAGCAAGGUAAGAUAAAAUUAGCCUUGUCACCUUGUGUAAAUAGUCCACACCAAUAAAUAUAGAUAAAGAGCUACUAUAUGCUUAAUUAGAUGAUGAUGCACGAAAGGAAAGACUUCCCAUCUCACUAUUAAACAAUACUUACAUGUUUAUAAUCACAAUAUCAGCUACAGCCAAAGCAAAAAGUGCACUUUGUUUCUCGAAAGUAGUAUCAUCCUGAAAAAGAGACAUACGAGACCCUCAUUAGAGUGUUCCAUGAAAAAAGACCGUCACUAGAGCCAAAUGGAGAGGCCACAAAACUAAUGACAACAGUAAACAUAGUUGGCUGAAAUGCCAAAUCUUACAUUAUAUAAGAUUCUCUCUCACACGAGUUCUACUUUCUUAUAAUCUUCUAUACAUGAACUUUUUUUUAUAAAUGACUAUUCAAAUUUCAAUACAUGAACUUAGUUGUCAAGCAAGGCCACCUAAAGCAUAUGUUGUUCUUCAUUUGUUAACUAGCAAUGCUUCACCUUAUCCGAACCCACCAGCAGACGACUAAAUAGACUUCCAUUCUACUGACCCAGUAGUUAUUGUUCUUAGCAACUUUGUGAAAGCAAAAAUUGUUUAUACAUCUCAAUUCGAAAACUACCAAUGAAGGAAAAAUACAUCAAUUUGAAACACAGAUAAAGGCUUACCUCUCCUCUUUCCCUGCCAUCAGUUCCUUCUAGAUCCAUGCCAAGCGUAAAUGGCUCAAUGCCAACGCACUUGGCCAUCCAAAUGCCUUUAGUUGUUUGACCCCUGAGACAAUGUUAGUCAUAUUCUCCAUGUUAACCAUAACCAUUUGCCAAGAAAUGAUAUGAAGACGAGGAGUAAAGCAUUAAAUUACUUAAUACACGUUAAAUUAGAACAAAACUAGUACUGCCGAACCUUCCCCUGAAGGCAUCCAUUUCCCUGAAAUUGGUAUGGAACAGAUGAUUCAUCAAUGUACUCUUGCCUGCACAAAAGCAAAGAAAUAAAAAGAAUUUCCAUUAGGCAUCAAACGGCUAACUUUAGCAUUGGGCAAUCAAAGCCAAACCCAAUUCAAAGGAACAGAAGUCAGAGAGCAAAAAAAGGGAAAACAUACCGCUGCUUUGAGGACCCAUGAUAGCGACAACAGCGUAGGAGAGACCGCAGUCGGAGAGCUUGGUGAUAGAGACGAAGCGAUCGAGUCCUUCGACAUUGAAUGUGCCGUCGCCGUCAAUCAGUUGCGUGGAGCAGCAGUCAUCAGCCAUGUUGGUGGAAGUCAGCUCAAAGUCUCUGAUUGAGCUGCAGUCUAGCUAGGGUUUUUGAACUUACGGAUUCGUCGGUGGAAGAGAAUGAAAUUGGAGUAGAGGUGAAGCAAGAGAUCGGAGAAAGGGAAAGAAUCGAAGGAAAAGGGGGCUGGGAAUGAUCUUAUAAUAACCACUCACUAUUCCCGAGGUUUCUCCACUUUCACUUCGAUUCUUACUGUGUAUAUACCGAAGUAGAUUUGCAGUGCUGGAUUGAACUACUGGAAUUUACAGAGGGCAGGUGGACUGGAGAAAGCUUUGAGCUUUUUCCUUCUUCUUUCGAAAAUAUACAAUUUAUUUUAAUAAAAAUAUAAAGUCAGUUCAUUUUCUAUUUUAUUAUCAUUUUUUAUAGAUCGUCCUAAACGAAAAGUAAAAACCAAAAAGAAAUUUGAUUCAUUUGAGGUGUGGUGGGUCGUCUUCUUCUUUGUCUCCGUGUGCUUUACACAAACGAAGAUCAAACCAAAAAAUACCAGACUUUGAUCGCAAACAAAAAGAGAAGAAGAAAGAAAACACAUCGCUGUACACGUCUCGCCACUAAAUCAUUUGAUCGACAUAGUUUCUGUCCAAUUCGUCACUUACCCACCUGCUAAUUACUACUCAUGGACAGCGCGGGUAACAAGAACAUCAACGCCAAAUUGGUGAGUCCUCAAAUUUUUCUUUCUUGCGUUUCAUUAUAUUUUAGGCCCGAUCUAUGUUGCUUGAAUUCGGAUAUGGGUUAGCUUUUUAAUUCUUUUUCGCUUGGUCUGUGUCGCUCAAUUUUGGAGGUCGAUUGCUAUUAACGUUCUUGAUUGGAAUUCAUAUUGAUUUUCUUUUAUAUCCCAACAUUCCCAAUUGCCGACUUCCGUUUCAGUAUAUGCAUGUGGUGUGUGUGUGUGUGAGUGAGUUAUCUCACGUGAAAUUUGUUAACCUUUUCAGUCUCUGUCUGUUGAGGUCUCUCUCAUCGUCCGAUGACUUGUGAGCUUUGAGUUAUUGAUGUUUAACAUCCAGGUUCUAUGCAAGUCUUUGAAUUUCCUAGCUAUGGAUGAUAUGUAGGCAGUACUUGCUUCUGUGGAGUGUUUCUCUGUUGCUGGAUGCUCACAGCUUCUCGAAAGUUGGUUUCUUGCCUGCUAUUUACUUAACUUGGAAUGUGAAGCAUUAUCAGGACCUGAAUCGGAUGAACCUGUUCAGGCUGUAUAAAACUGUUAAUGGUCUGCUUGAGCUAGUCUGGUCUUUCCUGUGUCUCUUAAUUGAUUUUGUUGCCUUCCUCUUUUGCCCAGCUAAUCCGGAUGUCGUUUCUAAUUUACAUAUAGCUGUGAUUGAAAUGGUAGUGGUAAUCGGUUUGGAUAACUCGAAUCUGCAUCCUAACCAAAUUAUUAUGCGAUCCAUCCAGGUGCUCCUCGGUGAUCCUGGUGCUGGAAAGUCUAGUCUUGUUCUGCGAUUUGUCAAAAACCAGUUUGUUGAGUUUCAGGUUUGUGCGAGGAAGAAUUGUGAUUCGUGACGUUAACAAUGUAUAGGCGCUGUAGCUCUCGUGGUCAUUUUUUAAACUUUGUUAUUUUUCUGUGUCCAUGUAGGAAUCAACAAUAGGGGCUGCCUUCUUUUCACAAACAUUGGCAGUGACUGAUGUCACUGUAAAAUUUGAGAUCUGGGACACAGCUGGGCAAGAGAGAUAUCACAGCCUUGCUCCUAUGUACUAUCGAGGAGCUGCUGCAGCAAUUAUCGUGUAUGACAUCACAAAUUCGGUAUGUGACAGACUUGGCAGGCCUUUAAGUUCAUCGAACUAUUUGGAAUCAGGAAAUCGUUUGUUGUUGUGUCGAUGUUUAUUUGGUACAUCUCUCAACAAAAGAGAUAUAGGGUUGAUGUUGUUUUGUCAAUCGUUCGUUAUUUUCUUGCAGGCCUCAUUUGAUCGGGCAAAGAAAUGGGUACAAGAACUGCAAGCCCAAGGUAGUGUUGCAUUGUGAUUUAUUCGGACCAUUUCUAUUCCUGUAAAAUAUUAGUCAAUCAUUCUGAUUGUGUUGUCUUCUGUCCUAUGUAUUUCUUAGUGUCCUCAUUGCUUGAUUGGAAAAUCAUUUAGACCUAGGGGCAGUAUUGUUUUGGCUUGCAGCUCUAUGACAGUCUAGAACUGCCUUUGUAUACUGCACUGAUUUAUAAAUUACUUUCCUUUUUCCCAACACGUUCACAUAAUCUAUCAACUCAUUGUUCUGAAGGCAAUCCGAAUAUGGUUAUGGCUCUGGCUGGGAACAAAUCUGAUUUGCUCGAUGAAAGGAAAGUAGAAGCUAAGGCAAGUAUUUCUACUUGUGGGUUAAAAUUCUUUCUAGAUGUGGUGUAGUAGUAGCACUUACUUUCUGGAUGAUGAUGUUAUUUUCAACUACGUCGAGUACAGGAGGCGGAAGUCUAUGCACAGGAGAAUGGCCUUUUCUUUAUGGAAACCUCAGCAAAAACAGCAACGAAUGUCAAUGGCAUUUUUCAGGAAAUAGGUAUCUUACUUCUGUCGACUUGGGGUUGAUAUGUGUGCUUGCUUAACAAUAGAACUUUUUGGCUCCAACGGCUAAUCCUUUGGGGUCAGAGUCGUUGCCGACAAGGAAAUCCAUCUUUGUCAUGAUCUUUGUCUUUGCUUCUUGCUCGUGUACGGCUUGUACACUCUUUACUCUUUAACAUUUUUCCACUUACCUGCUUGGAUUACCUUGCUAGAGUUAACAAAAUCAAUGCAUACCUUAUCAGGUUACUGCAUACAUAUUUGUAGCAGCAGAUUUUUCUAUCUUCGUACCUUCCAUGAAAUACUUUCUAUGAAAAUUUUGAAUUUCUUCGUCUAUUGAUUGGUUUGCCC
RNAcentral lists this long non-coding RNA (4826 nucleotides) under Linum usitatissimum (flax). RNAcentral's name for it is "long non-coding RNA (LUSI_LNC004500)". Lineage: Eukaryota; Viridiplantae; Streptophyta; Magnoliopsida; Malpighiales; Linaceae. The record is from RNAcentral.